CAAGGUCUUAUAAUAGUAGCUGAAAUUAUAUGAAGAGGGUUAAAAAUCAAUCUUUGCUCACAAGGGAGAUUAAAUUAUUGUUUGUGUGGUGCUUAUGGCACACGGAGCUGAGGGGAUAGUUAGCAGCAGAUAAAAAUAUUAUAUUUCUUUGAUUAAUAAGGGCUAACUAGAUGUCCAGAAACAGGAUUGUCAAGAGAUGAAGCGGCAUUACCACAGAGAGCUUUAUUAAAGACUUUUCCCAGUUUCACCUGCUUCCUUAACACAGGUUUCUGUCUAAGCAGUUUCUCUUUAAUUGAGUAAAUUGUCAUCAGCUCUUGCUCACUGAUAAAUGUACAUCGUUCAAGGCCAGCAAUUAAUCGGUCACACAUUUUCACCAUAUGAUCUAUGGAGAUUUUUUUCACCCAAAUUCAUAAUGUCAUCAUCAUUACUACUACCAUCUUCAUAUUGAUCUGCAUUUAACACCAUCUCAGCAAUUUCCCCAUCACUCUUAGGAUGCACAAUGGGUUCAUCAUUAUCAAUGUUAACCCUUUCUUCAAUGUUAGCUUCUUCUAACUUAUUUACACUUUUGGCUGAUAAACUUUUGGCAUAGGUAAUGAAUUAUGCUACCAUUGUUUUCUCAUUAGAGUCAUGAACUCUUUCAAAAUCUUCAUCAGCUAGGUCACUUUCAAACAUAAUUGUAGCCCAAAGUCUAUGCCAAGCAUUUGUUAAUGUUGACUUAUCAACGUCGUUCCAAGCAUUAGCAACUGUGAAGAUGGCAUCCUUAAGAUUAAAUUCUUUAAGGAUGUCCUGGAUUUUCAGGCCUCUGUUAACUGAAGCAAGGAUGCUUUUCAAAAAACUGUUUAUACUUGCUCUUCACGGCGUGUAGAAUUCCUUGGUCACAAGGUUGUAUUACAGACGUCACACUGGGGGGAAAGUCAAUGCCAAAAGCAUUGCUCUUCGCAAGAUGUUCAGGAGGGGGUUGUGCAGAACAGUUAUCUAGAAACAACAAAAUUUUGCAGUUGUCUUCCAGUCCAGUUUGCAAUGAGCUCAUGCUGCUGGCACAAAGUGCCUAUCAAACCAGUUGGAAAAGAUUUCCCGUUACUGAUGCUUUCUUGUGUGCAUAACAAUGUACAGGUAAAUUAUGCACACCUUUUAAACACCUUGGAUAUAGGCUAUUUCCAAUCACUGCCAAUUUUAUCUUGUGUGUGCCUGCAGCAUUAGCACACUCAAGAACAGUUAACUUUUGCUUAGUAUCUUUGACAUCUGUUGUUGCUCUUUUGUUAGCCAUUGUUAAAGUUUUUCUAGGAACAUAGCACCAGUACAAAGCUGUUUCAUCAGCACUGUAAAUUUGUUCAGGGCUAAGAUUUUCAUCAGAUAUUACCUUAGCAAAUUCAUCAAUGUAAUUUUCAGUAGCUUCAUCAUCAGGAGAAGCCUUUUCACCACAGAUUUGAAGAUACUUGAUUCCAAGACACUUUUUAAAUUUCUGCAGCCAGCCUCCUGAAUAUUCACACUCUCCUUCAAAGUUCAGUUCUUCAUGGUAUAUUCUAGCUUGUUUCACGACCAACAAACCAGUCAGUGGUGUAUCUUUACUUCUUUGUUGUCGAACCCAUUCAAUCAACACAGGGUCAAGGUCUUCAUUUUUGGCUCUAUGCAAUGUUUUUCUAUUUUUCAUUCGUUCCUGGUUAUUGCUGUCACUAUAAAAUUUCAACAACUUGUCUGUUUCUUUAAGUCAUAUAUCGUGGUGGUUCCCAUACCAUAUUCUUCAGUAAGACACCUCACAGACAUACCACCAUCAAGUUUCUGCAAUAACUCCACUUUCUGAGAUAUUGAUAAAGACAGAUGCUUCC
RNAcentral lists this long non-coding RNA (1826 nucleotides) under Homo sapiens (human). Its description in RNAcentral is "HSALNT0166110". Lineage: Eukaryota; Metazoa; Chordata; Mammalia; Primates; Hominidae. The record is from RNAcentral.